CGGGGCCGGGGCCGGUGCCCGGGAAUGAAGCCGGUGUUGGGGCCGGGGCCGGGGCUGUCAUUUUGUGGUCCCUAAACGAGGGCGGCGAUAACGGCCUGAGAGCCCAGCUUGGCUCUGGGGAGCCGCGAGCGGCCGAGGGAGGCCGCGACAACUGGGUCGGUCUGGGCUCUGGGCCGCGCUGGGAGCCCUCAGCCAUGGCCGGGGAUAGGGCAGAGUCCCGCUGGGCACCCAGAGCCCCGCUGGGAGCCCUCAGCCAUGGCCGGGGACAGGGCAGGGCCCCGCUGGGCACCCAGAGCCCCGCUGGGAGCCCUCAGCUGUGUCCGGCCCUGCCGGGAGCCCUCAGCCCCUCACAGCCACGGCCGGUCCCGCGGGGAGAAGCCGCUCCCACGAGAGGGUUGUUGUGCAAGGAAGUGGCCGCUCUGAGUGACCGAUGUACCUCUCUUGGGCCAUUUUUACCUUUCUCUUGGCCACGUCUGAAGCCGGGCGGGUGGGCAGGGGUGGCCCCAUCACUGCUGUGCCCACCGCACCUGCUGGGAAGGUGUUUUGCUGCUUGAAUCACACCCGCCUCCCGCAGCCACCACAGCCCGAGAGCUGCCAUUUUCAUGGUGUUUUGGGGAGGACACGAACUUGUCCCAGUUCCUCUCCAGUAUCGACACACCUCGAAGUUCAAAGGCUGCGUUCAAGUGAUGCUGAACCACGGCUGCAAAGCUUCUGCUGCUUCAGCCAGUCCAGGGGAGCAGAGAGGCCACAAGUACUCAAGUCUUCAGUACAAUUGCUGUGGGGCCCUCAAGGAACUCGAACAGGCUGGAGCAAACCCUGUGCCCUUGGAGAAAAUUGUUUCCCCUUUUCCUCCAGGGAAUCCAGAGCCUGAGCAGCAGCUGUGAGGAGUGGAGAGAAAGAAAGAAGUGGGAGAUGCUGGAAGUGCUUUGGGCGACGUGAGAAGGAGGAUUUGCCCGGAAGGAGCUGUUCAAGGGCCCAGCAGCAAACCAGAGACACAAAACCUGCUUAUAUAUAGAAGAAUGUAACCCCUGUGUAUGCAGACGUGGACGCGUGCAUGCCUUGUCGAGAGCGUAAGCGACAUUCCCUGUAGAUCGCUGCUGUGAGCAGCCCUGCUCCUGCAGGCCGAGCCUUGGCACUGCUGCUGGCCCUGCUGGACACCACCCACUGCCCCAUUUAUGCAGCAGGAUGAGGAGGAAUCUCUACACCCACAUUAGUAAUCCUGAGAAUUCCAGUCGUGCUGCAGCGCGGGCACGGCCCAGGCGUGGCGGGGAGCGGGUGCGGAGCGGCUCGGACAGCAGUUUGUGUGUGUAAAUAUUCAUGCUCUGGCACCAGGGGAGAGCAGCUUUCCUAUGACUUUAGUUUCUCUGGUGCUACAUUUAAUAUUUGUCUGGGGCUAAACUGCCUCUCUGUGGUGCUACAGUUUCCCCAAGAGGAUGUUCUGAAACGUGGGACAAGGAAAGAUCUAUUUUGGUUAUUGAUAUUUAUACGCAAGAUAGCAAAAAAUAAGACUUGUUGAGAAGGUGCUAUUUUUUUUUUCUUUCUUUUAAUCUCUGCAGAAACUAAGACAAAACAAAUAAUCUACCCCAGAACUUUAUAAAACUCCUUUUCUUUGGAGCAGUUCUUUUUCUUUUGACAGUGUGGAGCUUGGGAAGCAGCAGGCACUGAGGUGGAAAGGACACAGGGCCCUUUCCACUGCAGUGUGCACGUGGAAGUCUGCUAGAGCAGCACUUCCUACAGCUCCAGAGCUGGGAAUUCUCCUGCAUGGUGAUUUAUUCAGUCCCAAAUCCCAUGAACCGGGGAAGAGAACUCUUCUCCAGACUGAUCACUAGAGCAGGGGAUAACAGGAGAACUUGGCCUUAGAAGUCAAAGGGCUUUUUUCAGUCUGGUACUGAGCACUUUUUUCCUUGCAGCCAAAACUACCUGUCAGAUUUCGGGUACCUUCCACAUACAGCAACCUGUGCACAGUUUUUUAGAAACAUUUUUCCUACCUUCAGAUAUUUGCACCAGAAAACUGACCCUGCCAUGGCAGGGAGGGCAUUUUCAAAGGCAUAAAGGAACGUUAGGACCCGAUUUCUAAAGGAAAUUUGGCUCCUUGUCUUUUAAAAAUACUUCCAUCCCUUGCCCAGCCCAGGAAGAAGCCAAGUGGCCACUGUGUCCAGUCAGACCCUGCAUUUUCCACUGCUGCAGGAGAAAUGUUUCUAAGUAAUCUGAAAGCUGAAUUCUCCCUUUAUCAAAUAUUCACCGCAGCGUUUUGAGCCCCUGCACGCAUUUUCCUGGCUGUUAUUGAUCCAAGUCCAUUCCCAAACAGCAGCAAGGGCUCUGCUGGAAGAGCAGAUUGUUCCUAGAGAAGAACCUUGCCCUGCCUUAGGUGAUGUGCAGUGUUGGGAGGUGUAGCUCUGUGUAGUUUGUCUGUCCAUUCCCUUUGGAUGGUCCCAGAGCCACAGGGACCAGUGAAACAUUUUCCUGCCAUUUUUGGCCUGAUGCUCAGUGAUCCUCAGCAUCCUGAACCCCUUCCCUGCUCAGAAGGGGUUUCUCCUACAGAAACAAGGACAAAUUCUUCUAACAAAAGGAGGAGCCUCAGCUGAUUCCAGCAGUGCUGCCAGUGCUGGGCAGAGCCUUAAAAAUACCAGUUUCUGGAAAUCCCUGGAAUGUGGGAGUGAGACUGUGCAGAUGGAAUCGCACAAGUCGCACUUGAACAGGAACCAUGGAUGUGACACUUGGCUGUAGGGGACACCCCUGCAGCUGGGUCACAUCCCUCAGAGCUCUCCCACAGGUUCCUCACCCCUACCAGCUCUGAAUGUAAUAAACUGCUCACCUGGAACAGGCAUUAUUCCAUUUCCCUGUGCACACAGCUGGCACUGCCCUUGGCUCUCCUGCUGCCCUGGCUGUUGGGGGCUGCAGCCUCCAGGCUGCUCCCGGUGUUUCAAUUCCCUUGGAACAGCACAGCCAAGGAAAAGGAAAGGAAGUUCUGUCCUCCCCACCUCGGGAGAGCCCCCAAAUCUGUGAUCAGCCCCAGUGCAGGGAUUGGCUGAUCUCCCUCAGUCCCAGCCCUCUGUGGACAGGCUUGUCUGUAAAUAUUCCCAAACCUCAGAGUUCCCAGGGGAUUGCUGUCCCCGGGGGCUCCAAACAGUCAGCAAAAAAUGUUGAAAGACUUGUCCUGCCCAGCAUGGAACAGCCACAUCCAUGGUGCUUCCCAAGUGGGAACAGGUCUGGUACCCCAAAUCCUGCAUUGUUCCUGGUUUGCUUCACUUUUGUAGUUCCAAACUGGAUGUUUCGCAUGAGCCCAGGGUGAAGUUUUGGAGUUUUGUAGCCAGAAUUCCCUGUACAGAACUGGAAUUCCUUAUUUGAGGGUGCAGAUUUGUCAAAGCCUUACAUUUUGUGGUGUAAUUGCUAUCCUUGAACGCCUCCAUUUUUUGACAAGGAGUGUUUUUAUCCUUUCUACAAGAUCUGCUUUGCCCCUGGUUGGUGUUUGCAUGGAAAGGGAAGGGUGCUGUCAACUCCCUGGAAAUUCCCUGUCCCCUCCUGUGGGCAGGAAACCGGCACAGUUCCCCUCUGGCCCUUUUGUUUUCUCACAGCAGCCGAGCAAUCCCUGGGUUGGGUCAGCUGGGAAGGCCAGGGAGGGCUCUCCAGAUGGAGGAACAGAGCCCUCUCGGGUUUCAGCAGCGAGCAGAGCGCAGUUAUGAGCUCAUGGUCUGUGCAGAGCACGGCUGGGAGGGAGCUCUGCAUGAAUUUUUAAAGCGCUUCUCUGCCAAGACAGCUCCCAGCACAACCUGGAAUUCCGUAUUCCAAGGUGAAAGAGCAGCCUGGUGUGGGCUGCUGCACCUGCCACUGCUGGGUUACACCAGGGCAGGGCUUGGCCCGUGAGUUCCACAUUCCUUCCUCUUCUCCCGCAGGUGGAAUGGGAGCAGGACUCUGUCACAGCUUGGUGUGCCCAGGCAAACAGCAAAUCACCCAAAGCAGGGAGCUGGCAGUGGGGAGGGGGAGAACCCCAUCCCACUCCUGCUUCAGAGCAGAGGGAGGCAGCAGUUCCUCUUUGAGCCAAGCCCAUUGCUAAAGCAAUUCCCUUAAAUCCCAAACACUUCUUGAAUCAAUUUCAUCUGAUUGGUGAGUUUGUUUUGUUUCUGUAUCACAGUAAAAGUUAGAAAGGUCUCUUAAACCCUCAGCAUGAGCAGAAGCGGUUCCUGCUGUUGAAAUCCAUGACAAACUGAACUGGUUAAACUGGUGCAGUGUCUGUCCACAGCCUGGAAUGAGGCAUUCCCAGCUGGAAAACUGAGCUGCCCUGUGAAAAAUGGCCCCAGUGAGGACAGAAUAGCACAUAAUAUUCAGUUUUCCUACACAACAUCUGUCCCUGAUCUCGGCAGGAGCCUGGUGUGUAUAGAACAGGCUACCUGAGGCUCCACUCCGGAUCCUGGGCACACACUGUCCGUGUCCAACCCUCCUGGCUGUAUCCCAGCUCCCCAGCACAUGCACAACUUCACUUGGAGACAGUUUGCCCCCAGAAAAUUUGAUUUUCAGUCCAGGCUUCAAACUCAGCCUCAUUCUUGUGUAACUUUGCUGAGUGUGAGCUGAGCUUUCCAUCUCAUCCCAGCAGGUGAGGAGACUCCGGCCAUGCCAAUUCCAGAUCCAGGGAAUUGUAAACACCAUGGGAAUUGGGCUUCCCUAGGACCAGCCAGUCUGAGAGGGGAGGGAUCCUCACCUGCUGCUCCUGCCUUGGGUUUCUACACCACAAAAUCCAGACAAAAUUGUAACUUUUCCAUUACAAUAUUUAUUUGAGUACAGGAGCGAAUUUUGAUGUGACUUCAGUGUCCAUUCUGGGGGAAUUACUGAAGUGCUUGAAUUUCCCAAAGUUUUUAAUAUUUACAGAAAGUGACUUUGGAUCUUGAUAAACAUUCACUGAAAACAUCUGAGGAUUAAAUGGCCGUUAUAAGUUCCACCAUUAUUAAUUAGCCACACCUUUAUUAGUUACUCCAUCAGGAGUCAGAGGUGGCACCAAGCAGAGCAAACCCAGCUGCAGUGGGAUUUAAUUCCCUGGGUUUUUACAGCAUCCCUUUUCCAGCCAUUCACCAGAGUUUAUCACAAAACCCUCCCGUCCUCGUGAGUCCUGAGGCCGCUGUGAAUUCCCCAGUGUGUCCCAGGGGCUUUGCCAAGGGAAUGACAGGCAGGGAAUGCCCAAUUCCUGGCGUUUUGCUGGUUACCAUUGGGAUGGAACUCCAGCAGGGUCACUGUGCAGGUUUCCCCCUACCCAAAGCAAGGGCAGGGCCUGUGCUCCGAGUUCCUGGAGCUCCAGGAGGCUCCUGGUCCUGGCUGGAUGGGGCUUCUCUCUUUUGUAAAAGGAAUUUCAUAUGCUGAGACUCUUUGUACAUAUUUAUAAGGAAUUUA
This is a long non-coding RNA of Parus major (Great Tit), 5379 nucleotides long. RefSeq lists it as uncharacterized. Lineage: Eukaryota; Metazoa; Chordata; Aves; Passeriformes; Paridae. The record is from RefSeq and is a predicted model, not a curated record. The transcript has 2 exons.